Molecule: long non-coding RNA, 701 nt
Organism: Patella vulgata (common limpet)
Lineage: Eukaryota; Metazoa; Mollusca; Gastropoda; Patellidae
Exons: 6
Source: RefSeq, a predicted model, not a curated record
UGUAUCUUGGGGGUUUAUAAAAGCUAUUCAUGUAUUGUAAUAUUUAUACCAAUGAUUCAGGCAAUCGCUAGAAGAUAUAAUAUAAUCAAGGUUAUAUAUCAUUUAUAUACACAGAACUUCAACUGGUAUAGAUCUCCGGAAAAAGUAUAAUAAAGUAUGUUCCGUUUGGGGUUUUUGUUAGCCGUCAUCACUGGAGCUGUUGCCCUCAAUGAUUAUUGGUAUGCUCUAUAUGGAUGCCAUCCACCCAGUUCACUCAGAGCUCGAGCAGAAUUAAUAGCUUUUGACAACGACAAAAACUUUGAUGGAAAAGUAACAAGUAAAGAUUUGGAUAUAAAUCUCGUUAACUAUGAUAAAGACGGAGAUACGACUCGAACAUAUAUGUGGGAAACUGUUUUUCACUGGAGAUGUCGAUACGGCUUUCAUGAAGAUUUUGUUCGAUAUUUCUACCAACUUCUGGAUGUCAACAAAGAUGGCGUCUGGACAGACGUGGAUUAUGCAAGUCCAUUUUUUAUGACUGGAGAGAAGUUUAGGAAAAGACAAAUUGAUCUAUUCAGACGAUACUGCGAAGAAAGGAACAAUAAACCAACAGAUUGUUGGAAAUUAAAAGUUGAACCAAACCUGGACAGUUUCGGUAAUUUUUCCCUUCCAAUGGAUUAUUAUUUUUAAAGUAAAUGUUUGCUUUUGAAAUAACAAUAAAGAUA